UGUACUCAUCGGUUAAAAAGCUUCUCUUAGUCCUAUUUUAAUGAUUCAUUCCUUGUUAUGAAUCUAAACGGCUUAAUGAAUGUAAUUUUUCUCAUGUAGACUCGGGGAAAGAGCAUUACUGCUGCAGCAGAUGGAAGCGCAUUAUGAACAGCAGAAGGCCAAGAAAAAAACAGCAGUGUCUGAUGUCUCAUGCAGCGAAGGAGAAGAAUGCUCAGAUACUUGAAGUUUCUCUAAUGUGUGCUCUGUGUUGUACAUACACUGAUUUACAGAAUGCUGAAAAAAUCUAGACAGCUGCUUCACCCAGAUAUUAUUAACCUUGAGACUCAUUAUUGGGCUUCAGUUGAACGGAAACUACCAGAAUGGGAGCAGUAUUUGCUUGGUAAAGGGCAACCGCCGACUGGUGGUUUUGGAAUCCAGGCAUGAAAGAAGCUCUAAAGUAUCUUGUAUCUAACUGGGUAUAUAUAACAAACAUAUAAAUACAUUUUUUUUUUUUUUUACACUUUUGAGUAAAUAUACUGUUUAAUCCUGAUAUUUUUUUUUCGUACUCGUUCUCUGUCUUGUCUAUCGUCCCUCCAUGGACGGAGAGAUUGCAGACCGUGACCUAGCCUAAUUGGAUGAUCAAACCAGUUCAGGGUGACACGGAGUGGCGGCUUGACAAACGCGAUCAUCUGGAUGGUCAUGGUUGAAGUGGUGGUGGUUGGCAGCUGCCCUUCCUCCUCAGCUGUGACUCCUGCCCCUGAGGUCAGGGCACCAGUCGAGGCUUCCAAAUUGGCAGGGGGGUAGGUUGGCUGUGGAGGGGUGGAGAAUUCUGGGUGUGGGUGGAGGGCAUGACAGCAAAUUAUCUAAAAGGCUUUUGAAGAGCACGAUCUGGAGCCCUUCCAAAUGACUAGAUCUGCAUUAUGUAUUCUAAUAGGGAAAGCCCUGAGGUGGUUUGGCUACGGAUACCACUGCCAACUGAGGCUGUCAGAGCACAGGCCAAGGCCAAAUGUUGUAGAUCAGCUCUGGGCUUCAGACACCUGGCCAUCAGCCAGACCUUCAGAACACUAUCGUAAGAUUAUAGAACAAAGUUGUUUGUAACUGAAUAACUUGUGUCUGUAAAAAUGGCAUAGUUGCUGUUACAAGAAAGCCUGAUUAUGUUGAGGAUUAUGGCACUUUGAUUGAUUAAUAGUAAAAUUACUAAAUAAAGAUAAUGACAUUUUUGAGUAUUUUCAUUAAUGUUUGAUCAUCAGACCUCAGGAACGGUACCAAUAUAAAAAAUUUCCCUUAGUGAAACAAGCUUGUCUUCCAUCAGAAACAUACCACCCAUUGCUCUCAAAGGAGCUUUUCACAACUAAAGAUCUUUGUAAAUGUAGUGCACUUAAACACAAAUAGCUUUUGCUUGGGAGCCUGUUGGGGAAUUCUCUCCAUUCUUGAAACUAUUAUUCCAGCAGUAGUGCUGGUCAUUAGGGGACUCCUGUUGUGUUUUUGUUCUGGAUAACUUAUAUGUCAUUCUGUUUUUUAUUGAUUUUGGGUUUCAAUAUUGUUAUUUUCCCCAUUUAUUUAAUUGGAACCCAUUAAUCCAAGUAGUCAAAACAUCCACUCCAUCCCAACAUUUGUGGCAGUAGUUUGAGUGUGCAAUACUUGUUUGUGUAAAUGUUUGUGUGUAGUCAUGUAUUUAUAUGUUUUACACUAUUAAAAAAAAGGUUCUAAAGAUUUUCUCAUCAAUGGGGGUUUCUUAGUGUGAAGAACUUUUGGAAUCUUUUUCCACUAAAAAGAACAAUGCAAAGUUUCCAUGGAUGUUCAAGCUUCUUGGUGGAACCAUAGAUUGGACUAUAUUUUGUUCAGAAACCCACCACAGACUGGGCAUAAAAUCACAGCCUAAGGGAUCACUGAGUGACACAUCGCUUUAUAUCAAAUCCCUUGCUUUCAAACUUGGUUUAUUGAAGAGAGUACCAGCUUAACAAGCAGGGUUUUUGGUCUGAGUUAAUUAAGACCCAUCCAUUGGGAAACGGAGUGGAGAUUGUCCUGAAAGGGCAUCCUGGGUCAAAAGAUUAGCACCGGACAUCCCAGAUUUACUGAUCCUGACAAACAAUGAGACUGAUUACAGGUCACUCCUCAAUAGAAGCAAUACAGCAAUUUAAACAGAUAACUAUUGCAGAUCUACUGAUAUGCCUUAGAUUUCAUUUAGCAGUUUUCUUUGGCAAAUAUCCCUUAUUUCCCAACACAAUGCGUCACUUGCAUUCAUAUUUAUAUAAUGGGGCGCUGAGAUUGUUGAAUGUGGAACAGAUUGUUUUGAGGUCAGACCUUCGUCUCUUUUAAGACAUUGUGGGUAAAGAGUUGGACGAGAGGACAGAAGGUCCCCUUCAGCUGCAUGGCCUGAAGCCCUCAAGACUGCUUCUGAAUGGAGGUCAUACCCGAGACUGACAUUGAUGUAAUUCCGGCGAGGCAGAGUCCCUGCACUCCACUACCAUGCGGCUGCCUCAACACCUUAGAGCAAUAAAGCUCCUUCUCUGAGCGUGCCCUUGACGUGCAGACCGAACGCAGCGAAAGGGGCACCGCUGCCUGCCACUCAAGGCCCAGCAUGGGUAAUGCCUGA
Carassius carassius (crucian carp) is the source of this 2575-nucleotide long non-coding RNA. RefSeq lists it as uncharacterized. Lineage: Eukaryota; Metazoa; Chordata; Actinopteri; Cypriniformes; Cyprinidae. The transcript has 4 exons. The record is from RefSeq and is a predicted model, not a curated record.